GCAUGGGAGAGCAGAGCUGGGAGGUUACAGGAGAGCCUGGAGAGGACAGAGGGGACGGCCUCGGCAUGGCAGCUGCACCCACAGAGCAGGCAGUACCACAUGGCACCUAUCGAGUGCUGCCAGAUGCCCAGUGACUGAAGCAGGGCUAGUGGGGCGAUCUGUAGGCAGGAUGUCCAUGGGGUCCUGGGUCUUGAAGUGAAGAACAUGCUUCUAGACUGUUCUUCACUGCCCUGUUCAGCUUUCCCCUGUCCAAGACGCCGGCUCCCAACAGGUCGGGGGGUGACCUGGAAUGGCGUGGAAAUCCUCACCAGCUGGAAGAUGGUGGAGUUGGGUCCAACCCAGCAGCCACCCCCUCCACCAUGAAGUGGCAGGAGGCAGGCCCUCCAUUCCCCCGGUCCUUGCCAUGCCCCAUGAGGGACGCAGAGGUGGGACACUGUCCCUACUGCAUGGAUGAGAAACCCAAGCCCCAGGGCCCGCCUCGGGCCACACAGCCGGCGGGGACAGAAGAGGCGCCCAGUGCCAUUCUGGGUGACAGGUAACCGCAGGGCCCAGCCCUUCCUGGAUCCACUUCUCGGCUCCUGGCCUGGGCAGUGCAGAUCCCCCUGCAGAGUGCAUCCCUCCCCACGCCUGACAGUGUCUGUGCCCAUGACACCUCAGGGAAGCCCUCCCUGGCUCCUGUCCUCCCCCUCUCAGCCCUGCUGGCUCCUCCUGCCGGCACAACUGUGCUUGUCUCCUGUCUCCCUGCAUGGUGGGAAUGUGUCCCUGGCGCCUGGAACGUGCCCGGCCCAUCGUGGCACCUAGGAGGUGUCUGCAGAGCCAGUCAAGGUUGCAGAGGGGGAGCUGCUAGGAGCUCCUGGCCCCUCCUCUUUCCCCCGAAAUGUCUGCCAG
RNAcentral lists this long non-coding RNA (888 nucleotides) under Homo sapiens (human). RNAcentral describes it as "HSALNT0270191". Lineage: Eukaryota; Metazoa; Chordata; Mammalia; Primates; Hominidae. The record is from RNAcentral.